UACGUAGGUGGCAAGCGUUGUCCGGAUUUACUGGGCGUAAAGGGUGCGUAGGUGGAUGUUUAAGUCAGAUGUGAAACCCCUGGGCUCAACUCAGGGACUGCAUUUGAUACUGCACAACUUGAAUCCGGGAGAGGGUGGCGGAAUUCCAGGUGUAGCGGUGAAAUGCGUAGAGAUCUGGAGGAAUACCGGUGGCGAAGGCGGCCCCCUGGACAAAGACUGACGCUCAGGUGCGAAAGCGUGGGGAGCAAAC
This 250-nucleotide ribosomal RNA is filed under the name uncultured bacterium. Its description in RNAcentral is "partial 16S ribosomal RNA". It matches the Rfam family "Bacterial small subunit ribosomal RNA", at positions 524 to 773 of the family's 1533-position model. The record is from RNAcentral.